UACGUAGGGUGCAAGCGUUGUCCGGAAUUAUUGGGCGUAAAGGGCUCGUAGGCGGUCCAUCGCGUCGGGAGUGAAAAGCUGGGGCUCAACCCCAGUCCUGCUUCCGAUACGGGUGGACUAGAGGUAUGCAGGGGAGAACGGAAUUCCUGGUGUAGCGGUGAAAUGCGCAGAUAUCAGGAGGAACACCGGUGGCGAAGGCGGUUCUCUGGGACGGUACUGACGCUGAGACACGACAGCAUGGGGAGCGAACGGG
RNAcentral lists this ribosomal RNA (253 nucleotides) under uncultured bacterium. RNAcentral's name for it is "partial 16S ribosomal RNA". It matches the Rfam family "Bacterial small subunit ribosomal RNA", at positions 524 to 776 of the family's 1533-position model. The record is from RNAcentral.